CUGGAUAUAGACCAGUCACACAUACACAAGCCUCCCCUUGGCUCUAUUUCUAACGCGGAAUACUCCUCUAUUUCCCACCCUUAACCUCAAAUGAAACUAGGGCUCUGGAGCCUGCAUCCCUGGGGAGCUUACCCCACCUGUACAUGCUUGUGGAACCUCCACUUUCGACCCUGGCCUCUUGUCCCUGGAGAAGCGGGUGGGAGACUAAAUGCCCACUUCUAGCGACCCCCUAAACCUCCUCUCCCAUGCCAGCGGUGUGGAGCCACCGGGAGACUCCCGCAUAUCCCUUGGCCCGGCGCCAAUGGGGUGGGGGGUGGAGGGACAAGGAGAGAUGGAGUCUGCGGAGUCCCAAGGAACCCCAGCGCCUUGGUCCCUGCAGGAUCUCCCCACCCCCACUCCGCAUUCUUCCCAGCCGGUCCUCCGGAGGGGACGCGACCCUGUACAUCCUCCCACCGGCACUCUCCACGCAACGGGACAAAGAAACCCCACUGCAGCCGGCAAGCGUGACCGCAGGGCACUGGUGCAGCAGGUCCUGGAACUUCGCAACAACUUGUCUCUCUGUCCUGUGCAUCUGUCUUCUUCCUCAUUACCCGGCUGGCUCCUGGAAGGUGUGGUGGGGUAUGGAGGUGAAGAGGGUAGGCUUUGGAGCCAGAGUGCCUGCUUUCAAGUUUAUACCCACAAUCCAAAUGAAUGAAUGACACAGCAGCUGCGCGACCUCCAAUGGCAACCACCAGGACCAGGAGACACUGCCCCAUCUCGUCCCUCUGACUUCUGUGGACUGGCACUAGGGUCCUCCAGAGCACCGCAGGACAGCUCCUGACAGAUCCUCUCCAUGCCCUGGAACCUUCUUCCUUGAAGCAGUGGUGCAGUUUCCUUUCCCUCCCUUCCUCUCAGAUCUGCUGUUGGCUCUGCGGCUGUCUCCACAUUCUGCUCCUGGGAUGCUCAUCCACCACCUGUGCUCCCACCUAAGUGAAGACAAAACUCCUCUUCCUGGCUUUCCCUCGACAUGCCACAGUAGGCCACCAAAGGAAAGACCCUCAGAGCUACCGAGGAAGAAGGAGUUACAGAUCCCAUCCGUGAAACUGAAAAGGAGAAAACAGCUUUGAUGAUUCAAGGCCCAAAGGAUUCCCUGCUCUCCAUCAUGAGAAAUUUUAAAUGAAAUGUGAUGGGGUGCACAGAGAAUGUGGACAAGAGAGAGGAACAUUGAACAAACGCUGCACGGGUUGUCAAAUGGUAUUGUGAAUGGAUUAGAGCUUCAUUCGUGUGGACUCUGGUGAUAGUGAGGAGUUUCUCUUAUAGAGUUUGGGCCAGUUGUGAGCAGCUGUAGUUGAGUUCACUUCUGGAUGGCUGUCUGUCUUGGGUUUCUACUGUAUGCCCACAGUUUUUCACAGAGGUGCUCACUUGUGGCAAAAGCCUCUUUCAUUAACGGAUGUAUUUAACUAAGGACAAAAUCACCAGCUAAGCAUAGGAGAUACAGUACUGCAAAAAAAUCAGACUCCCAGCCUUCCCGAAACUUAUCAGCUCAUGGUGGAGGUGGGUGAUGAGCAAGUGUCAGGUAGUAAUAAAUGCCAAGAUGAAAAUUUAAGCAAGACAAAGAAGAUGGAGAGCAAGAGAUGAUGUCUCAGUGGGCAGAGUUCAGAAAUUAUUUCUAUGAAGAGAUGACAUGUGACCAAAGUGAAGUGAGGAAAAUAUUUGAGUGUCUGAAAGUAAAUUCUAGAUAAAGAGAAGUGCAGUGGCCAUGAGGUGAGAAUGUGCUGGAAAUGUUUGAGGAGCUUUGGGCAGGACAAUGUGGCUUGAGUCGAGGGAGAGAAGGGGAAGGGCUAGGAGGCAAAGUCAUGGAGAUUGUGUAGGUUGUGCUGUCAAAGGUAAAUACCUAUGUGUGGCUAUUUAGAUUUAAAUCAGAGUGGAGUAAAAUUUCAAGUUCAGAUUCUCAGUUGUUGUAGCCACGUUUCAAGUGUUCAAUCGCCAUGUAUGGCUACCAUUUUGGAUAGCACCAGAAACAGGACAUUGCCAUCAUUGCAGGAAGCUAUUAGAUGGAGCUGAUAAAGAGCUUUGUAGACUCCAGUAAGGAUCAAGGAUUUUAUUCCAAGAAUGAUGGGGAGUUCUGGAAGGGUUUUGGAAAUAAGUGUUUUGAUCUGGUUUGCAUCUUGAAGAGCUCCUUCUGGCUGUGUGGAGAAUAUGGUGCAGGGAAACAAGUAUGGAAUUAGUGAUGUUGGUUAGGGGAAUGAUACAAUAAUCCCUGAGAAAGAUAGAUGGCAGCUUGAACCUGGAUGGAAGCAGUGGAGGUGGUAGGGAUUUUGGAUAUGCAGAGGUUCCUUUACUUACAAUGGGCUUUUAUUCCAAUAGGGUUUCAUAAAUUGAAAAUAUUGCAAGUCAAUGAUACAUUUGAUACACUUAACUUUUACUAAACCUCAGAGCUCACCAAUACAAUAUACGUGGAAUCUCAGUUGUUUUUCACUCAUGAUUGUGUGGUUGACUGGGAGCUGUGGCUCACUUCUACCACAAGACAGCAUCUUACCACAUAUCCUUGACCUGAGAAGACAUCAAAAUUCAAAAUUCAAAGGAUUAUUUCUACUGAAUGUGUAUUGCUUUUGCAUCAUUGUAGUCAAGAACUUGUAAGGGGAACCACCAUCACCAGUAGGGGACUGUGUUAAUCAGUCAUCACUGUGACCAACAGACCCAACAAAAACAAUUUCAGAGGAGGAAAAGUUUAUUUU
Long non-coding RNA from Ictidomys tridecemlineatus (thirteen-lined ground squirrel), 2717 nucleotides. RefSeq lists it as uncharacterized. The record is from RefSeq and is a predicted model, not a curated record. Lineage: Eukaryota; Metazoa; Chordata; Mammalia; Rodentia; Sciuridae.